AUUGAACGCUGGCGGUAUGCUUAAGACAUGCAAGUCGAACGGUAACAGACCUUCGGGUGCUGACGAGUGGCGGACGGGUGAGUAACACGUGGGAAUCUACCUUGUAGUGGGGGAUAAGCCAGGGAAACUUGGACUAAUACCGCAUACGCCCUAAGGGGGAAAGGAGCAAUUCGCUAUAAGAUGAGCCCGCGUCUGAUUAGCUAGUUGGUGAGGUAAAGGCUCACCAAGGCGACGAUCCGUAGCUGGUCUGAGAGGAUGAUCAGCCACACUGGAACUGAGACACGGUCCAGACUCCUACGGGAGGCAGCAGUGGGGAAUAUUGGACAAUGGGGGCAACCCUGAUCCAGCCAUGCCGCGUGUGUGAAGAAGGCCCUCGGGUUGUAAAGCUCUUUUGUCCGGAAAGAAAAGCAAUCGGUUAAUACCCGGUUGUUCUGACGGUACCGGAAGAAUAAGCACCGGCUAACUUCGUGCCAGCAGCCGCGGUAAGGUCGUCAUGU
This 497-nucleotide ribosomal RNA is filed under the name uncultured bacterium. RNAcentral describes it as "bacterial SSU rRNA". It matches the Rfam family "Bacterial small subunit ribosomal RNA", at positions 30 to 533 of the family's 1533-position model. The record is from RNAcentral.